GAUGAAGAACGUAGCGAAACGCGAUAAGUAGUGUGAAUUGCAGAAUUCAGUGAAUCAUCGAAUCUUUGAACGCACAUUGCGCCCGCCAGCAUUCUGGCGGGCAUGCCUGUUCGAGCGUCAUUUCAACCCUCGAGCCCCCCCGGGGGCCUCGGUGUUGGGGGACGGCACACCAGCCGCCCCCGAAAUGCAGUGGCGACCCCGCCGCAGCCUCCCCUGCGUAGUAGCACACACCUCGCACCGGAGCGCGGAGGCGGUCACGCCGUAAAACGCCCAACUUUCUUAGAGUUGACCUCGGAUCAGGUAGGAAUACCCGCUGAACUUAAGCAUAUCAAUAAGCGGAGGA
This 343-nucleotide unclassified non-coding RNA is filed under the name soil metagenome. Its description in RNAcentral is "partial contains 5.8S ribosomal RNA, internal transcribed spacer 2, and large subunit ribosomal RNA". The stretch from base 1 to 120 matches the Rfam family "5.8S ribosomal RNA", at positions 35 to 154 of the family's 154-position model. The record is from RNAcentral.